CGAAAAGGAAGUUUCGACGGGGGCCCGCACUAAGCGGUGGAGCAUGUGGUUUAAUUCGAAGCAACGCGAAGAACCUUACCAGGUCUUGACAUCCGAUGACUAUUUCUAAGAGAUAGAAAGUUACUUCGGUACAUCGGUGACAGGUGGUGCAUGGUUGUCGUCAGCUCGUGUCGUGAGAUGUUGGGUUAAGUCCCGCAACGAGCGCAACCCCGCCGUUAGUUGCCAGCGGUUCGGCCGGGCACUCUAACGGGACUGCCCGCGAAAGCGGGAGGAAGGAGGGGACGACGUCUGGUCAGCAUGGCCCUUACGGCCUGGGCGACACACGUGCUACAAUGCCCACUACAAAGCGAGGCCACCCGGCAACGGGGAGCUAAUCGCAAAAAGGUGGGCCCAGUUCGGAUUGGGGUCUGCAACCCGACCCCAUGAAGCCGGAAUCGCUAGUAAUCGCGGAUCAGCCAUGCCGCGGUGAAUACGUUCCCGGGCCUU
RNAcentral lists this ribosomal RNA (486 nucleotides) under uncultured Thermus sp. Its description in RNAcentral is "bacterial SSU rRNA". It matches the Rfam family "Bacterial small subunit ribosomal RNA", at positions 910 to 1382 of the family's 1533-position model. The record is from RNAcentral. Lineage: Bacteria; Thermotogati; Deinococcota; Deinococci; Thermales; Thermaceae.